This 510-nucleotide ribosomal RNA is filed under the name uncultured bacterium. RNAcentral describes it as "partial 16S ribosomal RNA". It matches the Rfam family "Bacterial small subunit ribosomal RNA", at positions 28 to 507 of the family's 1533-position model. The record is from RNAcentral.
GACGAACGCUGGCGGCGUGCUUAACACAUGCAAGUCGAACGAAGAGCGAUGGAAGCUUGCUUCUAUCAAUCUUAGUGGCGAACGGGUGAGUAACGCGUAAUCAACCUGCCCUUCAGAGGGGGAAAACAGUUGGAAACGACUGCUAAUACCGCAUACGAUCUAAUCUCGGCAUCGAGGAUAGAUGAAAGGUGGCCUCUACAUGUAAGCUAUCACUGAAGGAGGGGAUUGCGUCUGAUUAGCUAGUUGGAGGGGUAACGGCCCACCAAGGCGAUGAUCAGUAGCCGGUCUGAGAGGAUGAACGGCCACAUUGGGACUGAGACACGGCCCAGACUCCUACGGGAGGCAGCAGUGGGGAAUCUUCCGCAAUGGACGAAAGUCUGACGGAGCAACGCCGCGUGAGUGAUGACGGCCUUCGGGUUGUAAAGCUCUGUUAAUCGGGACGAAAGGCCUUCUUGCGAAUAGUGAGAAGGAUUGACGGUACCGGAAUAGAAAGCCACGGCUAACUACGUG